CGUAGGGUGCAAGCGUUAAUCGGAAUUACUGGGCGUAAAGCGUGCGCAGGCGGUCGUGCAAGACAGAUGUGAAAUCCCCGGGCUCAACCUGGGAACUGCAUUUGUGACUACACGGCUGGAGUGCGGCAGAGGGGGAUGGAAUUCCGCGUGUAGCAGUGAAAUGCGUAGAUAUGCGGAGGAACACCGAUGGCGAAGGCAAUCCCCUGGGCCUGCACUGACGCUCAUGCACGAAAGCGUGGGGAGCAAACAGGAUUAGAUACCCUGGUAGUCCACGCCCUAAACGAUGUCAACUGGUUGUUGGGAGGGUUCCUUCUCAGUAACGUAGCUAACGCGUGAAGUUGACCGCCUGGGGAGUACGGCCGCAAGGUUG
Molecule: ribosomal RNA, 370 nt
Filed under: uncultured organism
Description: bacterial SSU rRNA
Rfam family: Bacterial small subunit ribosomal RNA
Source: RNAcentral